Molecule: small RNA, 142 nt
Filed under: Mesobacillus subterraneus
Lineage: Bacteria; Bacillati; Bacillota; Bacilli; Caryophanales; Bacillaceae
Description: Bacillus subterraneus c-di-AMP sequence
Rfam family: c-di-AMP riboswitch aptamer (ydaO/yuaA leader)
About the family: This family represents a conserved RNA structure found upstream of the ydaO and yuaA genes in Bacillus subtilis and related genes in other bacteria. The ydaO/yuaA element is thought to act as a genetic "off" switch for the ydaO and yuaA genes in its native state. It is believed that the element may be triggered during osmotic shock leading to activation of ydaO, a predicted amino acid transporter gene, and members of the yuaA-yubG operon which code for KtrA and KtrB K+ transporters.
Source: Rfam by way of RNAcentral
UUUCUAUAUUCGCUGAAACCUUUUGGUACGGGGAAACCAGUUAUGUGGAUUCUAAAGAAUCCGGGGGUGAAUCCUUUUUAGGUAGGGCUACUCAAAGGUCCGAAUCCGACAGCUAACCUCGUAAGCGUUCAAUUGAGAAGGA